Molecule: ribosomal RNA, 507 nt
Filed under: Klebsiella pneumoniae
Lineage: Bacteria; Pseudomonadati; Pseudomonadota; Gammaproteobacteria; Enterobacterales; Enterobacteriaceae
Description: bacterial SSU rRNA
Rfam family: Bacterial small subunit ribosomal RNA
Source: RNAcentral
AAAUUGAAGAGUUUGAUCAUGGCUCAGAUUGAACGCUGGCGGCAGGCCUAACACAUGCAAGUCGAGCGGUAGCACAGAGAGCUUGCUCUCGGGUGACGAGCGGCGGACGGGUGAGUAAUGUCUGGGAAACUGCCUGAUGGAGGGGGAUAACUACUGGAAACGGUAGCUAAUACCGCAUAAUGUCGCAAGACCAAAGUGGGGGACCUUCGGGCCUCAUGCCAUCAGAUGUGCCCAGAUGGGAUUAGCUAGUAGGUGGGGUAACGGCUCACCUAGGCGACGAUCCCUAGCUGGUCUGAGAGGAUGACCAGCCACACUGGAACUGAGACACGGUCCAGACUCCUACGGGAGGCAGCAGUGGGGAAUAUUGCACAAUGGGCGCAAGCCUGAUGCAGCCAUGCCGCGUGUGUGAAGAAGGCCUUCGGGUUGUAAAGCACUUUCAGCGGGGAGGAAGGCGUUAAGGUUAAUAACCUUGUCGAUUGACGUUACCCGCAGAAGAAGCACCGGCUA